Molecule: ribosomal RNA, 746 nt
Filed under: Salmonella enterica subsp. enterica serovar Dublin
Lineage: Bacteria; Pseudomonadati; Pseudomonadota; Gammaproteobacteria; Enterobacterales; Enterobacteriaceae
Description: partial 23S ribosomal RNA
Rfam family: Bacterial large subunit ribosomal RNA
Source: RNAcentral
GAAGAGGGAAACAACCCAGACCGCCAGCUAAGGUCCCAAAGUCAUGGUUAAGUGGGAAACGAUGUGGGAAGGCCCAGACAGCCAGGAUGUUGGCUUAGAAGCAGCCAUCAUUUAAAGAAAGCGUAAUAGCUCACUGGUCGAGUCGGCCUGCGCGGAAGAUGUAACGGGGCUAAACCAUGCACCGAAGCUGCGGCAGCGACGCUUAUGCGUUGUUGGGUAGGGGAGCGUUCUGUAAGCCUGUGAAGGUGGCCUGUGAGGGUUGCUGGAGGUAUCAGAAGUGCGAAUGCUGACAUAAGUAACGAUAAAGCGGGUGAAAAGCCCGCUCGCCGGAAGACCAAGGGUUCCUGUCCAACGUUAAUCGGGGCAGGGUGAGUCGACCCCUAAGGCGAGGCCGAAAGGCGUAGUCGAUGGGAAACGGGUUAAUAUUCCCGUACUUGGUGUUACUGCGAAGGGGGGACGGAGAAGGCUAUGUUGGCCGGGCGACGGUUGUCCCGGUUUAAGCGUGUAGGUGUGUGUUCCAGGUAAAUCCGGUUCACUUUAACACUGAGGCGUGAUGACGAGGCACUACGGUGCUGAAGUAACAAAUGCCCUGCUUCCAGGAAAAGCCUCUAAGCAUCAGGUAACAUCAAAUCGUACCCCAAACCGACACAGGUGGUCAGGUAGAGAAUACCAAGGCGCUUGAGAGAACUCGGGUGAAGGAACUAGGCAAAAUGGUGCCGUAACUUCGGGAGAAGGCACGCUGACAC